Long non-coding RNA from Falco peregrinus (peregrine falcon), 5281 nucleotides. RefSeq lists it as uncharacterized. Lineage: Eukaryota; Metazoa; Chordata; Aves; Falconiformes; Falconidae. The record is from RefSeq and is a predicted model, not a curated record. The transcript has 5 exons.
GGGAAGGAGUGAAAGCAGAGGAGGAGGCGCCGCAGGGCGGGGAGGCGGCGGCGUGCGGGCCCUGCCUUGUGCCUGCGGCCGGGGCUGCCCCGGGCUGCCCAGGGGCUGCCACAGCGCCGGGGACCCUCUGCCGCCCAGGGGUGGUGGGCAGUGACCCGCCUUCUUGUGAUAGCGGGAAGUUUAUUUUAAACGCGUUUCAUUUAUAAGUAAUGUUUUUGCUGCUAACACGGUGUAGGGCAGUAGUCCUCCAUGCCCUCAGAAUGGGUGUUGUGGCUGAGGAGGGAUUUGGGGCCUUUAAGAGUGGCAAGACACAAAGGCUGUUCCUGUGUUUCCUUAAUGUUUUUCCCUAAAACACUGGCUACUGCCAUAAGCGUUUAUUUUCGUGAUCUGCCUUUUUAACGGGAAUGAAACUUCAAAAGAAUAGCGCUGUUUCUGUACGGCCUUUGUAAGUCCGCGGUUCCCUCAGGCGCCAGCACCGGGCGGGGCGGGGUGGCCGGCGGCGCGUGCUGUGCUGCCCUCCCCUCCACGCUGCGCCCGCGCGCGCGGGAAACUGCCAGAAGGUGAACGGGAGCGGGUCAGGAAAGAAAAUGCCUACCCGAGCCUUGGUGCUGAGGGUGUCUGCCUGCAGCUGAGGGCAGCUACCUUCCAGAAGAGACGGUUUGCAUCGAUAACAUACUCUGGGACAGAGGUUUCAUCACCAGUGUGUAUGGUGUUCUGCAUGGCUACUAUUUUACAAGAAAAGUAACAAGAACAGAUGGAUACUUCCUUAACACCUGCUGCUGUGGGAGUCUUGUGAAACACUUGCAAUUCGAGGCUCAUGUCGAAGACACAUCCCUGUAUUGACAGGAGGAAAAGACUUCAGAAGUCAAUACUUAACACAUUGGGGAAGACAGAAGAUGAAACCAUGAAUGUAUGAGCACUGCUGAAGUGUCUUUCCUCGUGGGUCUCCAUAGUACCCAUCCUUGUUACAGGUCCACCCAAGACUAGAAGUAGACACUCACUCAUUGCCUAUUAUUUCUGCCUUCAUUUAUUUAAACAAGCAAACAAACCAACCUCAUGUGUGUGAAUAAAACCAUAGUACCAUCGUAUAAGAAGUGCCAACAACCAGUGAGUCAAUGUGUUCAAAUCCCCCAACCCUCAUUAGUUUAUAACCCUUUUGACAACUAGAACCUGGUUGUUUAUUCAUCUGGUUGGCCUAGAUGGCCAAAAAGUGGCACUAUCAUCUUGUAGCUUCACUCACAUAAGAAGUUAUAUGAGUUUCCACCUCCAAACUCUUGCAGAAGUAUUAAUCUGAGAUCCUAUUCACUAUAGAGUCCAGGCUUCUAAUUACUGGACUUACAUAGGAUUGUGUUUUAUCUUGUCUGCCCCAUUUUGUACCAAGAAGGUACAAAAGAGAGACACAGUCCUGCAGACACCAAGGUGAGAGAAGGAGUGAAAGGAGGUGCUCCAGGUGCCAGAACAGAGAUUCCCCUGCAGCCUCUGGAAGAGACCAUUGUGGAUCAGGCUCCUGACAGGAACUGCAGCCCCUGGAGAGCCCAUGCAAAAGCAGGUUUACUCUGAAGGACUGCAGCCCAUGGAAGGACCCUUGCUGGAGCAGGAGGAAAGUGUUAUGAGAAAGUGAUGAGAUGUUACAGACUGACCACUGCUCAGGGGUGGGGGCAGUAGGUAGAGGAGUUGGGAACGAAGGAAUGAUUUGGAGCCUGGGAAAAAGUGGUGUGAGAGUGGGGAGAAAGUGGUUUAUUUUAUGUCUUUUUUCUUAUCAUCUUACUCAAUUUUAACUCUUGAUAUUAAUUUUUCCGAGGUCGUCUGUUUUGCUUGUGAUAGUCAUUGGUGAGCAAUCUCCUUGUGCUCAUCUUGACACAUGAGCUUUUAAUCUUAUUUUUAGCUCCUGUCCCACUGAGGAGGGGCAGUGAGAGAGCAGCUGGGUGGGAGUUUGAGUGCUAGCCAUGGCUAACCCACCACACCAGUGUAUCAUCUCUAUGCCAUCUUUAAUUUGAUCUCUAUCAAAUGAGUCCACUCAAAAAGUCACAGUUAUAAAAAAUAUGUGCAUGCAAUUUUGUGUUCUCUAGCUAAGCCCAUGAAAGAUUUCACUUGCCAUUUUGUGGGUAAACCUGGACACUCCAGCAAAAGACACAUCUAUAAACCUUACCAUUUUUUGAUUUCUCAAAGCUUAUCCUCAGUGGGUUUCCUCAUUACUCAUAUUUCAUUACAGGGCCGGGGUGGAAAUGAGUCCCAUUACCCUGAAUAACUUCUAAAAAAAUAGCUCUGGUUCUUUCUAUAUGUUAAAUCUAUAAGAUGUAUGCAUAAGUUAGCAUUUAUUAAGAUGUGAAUAUAUAACCACAAUUACAUUAAUAUCUUGUCCACGAGUCCCUGAAACGUUGGGGGAGCAUCACACUUGCCAAGCAGAGCUAGGCAGUCUUGGGUAGCUUCCUGUAGCUUUCUGCAGCUCAGGCUCUCUGCCACUGUCUCCUCCAACUGAGUGUGAUUACAUACAUGGCUUCAUCUGGCAUUCUGACAGUUCAAGACAUCAGAUAAUGAUAAAUUUAACAGUCCUCUUAGUUUCGGGAAUCAAUAUAUAAGAGGUAGUAUGGCUGAACUUUGGAGCUAAUGUAAGUGACAUCAGUAUAAGACAACACAAGGAAUACUGCAAGUGGUAUUAGAUAUUUCAGCUUAAGUAUCUUUAAACUUUCCAAAAAUAUUCACAGUAUCCAGAAGUGAUUCUAGUGGAUCUGAGGCACAUGCAGUGUUCAGUCAAGUGGAUUGCCCACGUAGUCAUUAUGAACACAUCUGAUCCAUAAAACUAAGAUUCCUAACUGACCUGUAUUUUGCCUAGUGACACCUAAUUAUUUCAGCUAUGAAAUCUAUAAGGCAGCUUAAUAUAUUUUUUAAACUUUUCUUUAAAAAAAACUUUUAUCCAAUUUCAGAAUAGCAUUAAACAAAUAUGGCAAUUCAAAAUCUGACAAGACGUUUUUAUUAAAGCAGUUGGGGUUUAUACUUUUGAAAUUGUCUAUGGCUGUUGUCUAAGAUUUUUUUGAAAAGUAGUUCUUCUAUAUCUGUGAUAGUGGCUCAUCUAUUGUUAUCAACCAAAGCCAAAAGGUUCAACACAAUGCUAAAAAUGAAGUUACAGUUUGUACCUGAGUUUCUCCAAAAAAGGUUGUGUUUUUUUAAUUAAAGCGCUCCCCGUGUCUUUAUAUUUCAAGUUUAAGAAUUCCAUUUUGCCUGUGAGAGUCUUUUCUUUCUGAAACUUGGCAUGACAUAACUAUGAAAAUAUUAUUAAUCUGUGUUGUACAUAUUCAAGUCUCAUCUUUUCCAUUACCCCAAAGUACCAUAAAAACAUAGGGGAGGUAUAUAUCUUAACUGAAAAGCUUAAACUUAAUGUUUUGUUUCACAAUUCAGCUAUUAUGCAGGACGCUGAAUGGCUUAUAACUCUUUGGUCUUUAACUGAUACAGGAUCACAGCUUUUCUAAAGCUGAUGCGGAUAGCAAGGCCAGCUAUUUCAUUCAAGCCAAACAGGGAAACAGUUGCAUUUCUGAUUGUUUUACUAAUGGCAGACAGCAAUGGAAAUUUAGAACACAAUAUUUCAGUUGGAAGGGACCUACAAUGAUCAUCUAGUCCAGCUGCCUGACCAGCUCAGGGCUGACCAAAAGUUAAAGCAUGUUAUUAAGGGCAUUGUCAAAAUGCCUAUUAAACACUGACAGGCUUGGGGCAUUGACCACCUCUCUAGGAGGCCUGUUCCACUGUUUGACCACCCUCUUGGUAGAGAAAUACUUCCUGGCAUCCAGUCUAAACCUCCCCUGAUGCACCUUGAACCAUCCCUACACAUUCUAUCGCUGGAUUCCAGGGAGGAGAGCUUAGCACCUCCAUACUUCACCUCCUCAGGAAGCUGCAGAGAGCAAUGAGGUUGCCCCUCAGCCUCCUGUUCUCUAAAGCACACAAGCCCAAAGUCCUUAUCCACUCCUCAUAGGAGUUGUGUUCAAAGUUUAGAUGAAGUGGCAAUACAUAACCUGUUUUGAAAUUACUGUGUAUGCAUCUGUGUACACUAGAAGGAAAACACAGGAAACAACAAGAAAAUUAAUUGUUGUCAGAGAGCAAUCCAAACCAGCGAAUUCAGAGCAAAGUGUUAUCAGGUGAAAGGUAUGUCUCCUGGUUUGUAUUUUCCACCAUAUUCAGGGAAACAGAACUUCAUGUACAUUUUCCUCAAAUAAACAAGAUUACAGCAAAGACAUACCUGAUUGAAAAAUCAUUUUUUUUUUCUGAAAAGUCUCAAAUAUUAAAAUAUAAAAUAUAUUCUGUGUAGAGGAAUUAUAAAGGAAUGAAGGCAGGUUAAUUAACAUUGAUAAUAUACCGCUGUGGGCUGGCUUCAGGUGCGGUGGGUUGGCUGACGUGGAUAAUAUGCAGCUGUGGCUGGUUCCUGCUAAGUAGCUAAAGAGCUGUAAGGGGUAGGGAAGAAGAAUACUGGGUGAAGGGGGACCCAGAAGAAGCAGAGGGAGGAGAAAGAGUACCUCAGAUGUGGGAGAGGCCCCAGGAAAAGCAAAGUGAAGAAGGAGGAGGCCUGGAUGAGGAGGGGCUGGCUGGAAGAGGAGCCUGGAGAAGGAAGACUCCAGAUGCAGCAGAGGCAAGAAGCAGGGUGGAUGGGCCUGAAGAGGAUGGAGAAACAGCACAGACAGUAGAUGAACUUUUGAAACCUUGUGGGGGAUUGGUGCCUGUGUCGAAGCAAGGUGCAGGAGCUACUUACUGAAGUUAACCUGGUAUGGGAUGGUAAAAGCCUUGUUGUAGCUGGCUAGGCUUGAUAGUGCUGUGACAUUUCUAUACUUAAAUACUAUAUUUUUCUUGUAAAGUAAUUUACCCCAAGCAAAACAGAUGAAAGCCAUUUUGUCAUGCAGAAAUGAAGUAAUUUUAAUUUAGUAUUAUCUUGAUCAUUCUAUGAUAUAGCUAUUCCUUUUUACUGGAUUAAUGUUUAAUUGUUAAAAUCAAUCCUGUCAGAGGUAAAAGAAUAGAAUAGCUUUUCAAAGUUUACACUUCCCUUCUUAUCAAACUAACAUGUUAAAAAAAGAAAAACUUCCCAAGUUCCUAAUGAUAAAACAUAAAGUGCAUAGGGUAUUCUGCUGGAAUAUGGGGGGGAAGCCUUGUUCCUUGCUGUCAUGGUUACUGGUAUUUUUAAUCAAAGAUGGUCUAAUUUAAAGUGUGUGUUUGAGAAGCCUUGUCUGGAAAUCGGAGAUCUGUUCCCUCUUGAGUGAUUGUCUUAAGCAAAGCCCAAAUAAAGGUUUGAGGUUCUCUCUUC